Molecule: long non-coding RNA, 584 nt
Organism: Pan troglodytes (chimpanzee)
Lineage: Eukaryota; Metazoa; Chordata; Mammalia; Primates; Hominidae
Exons: 2
Source: RefSeq, a predicted model, not a curated record
GGCUCCCGCACGAUUUUGGCGCCCCGUUCCCGUGCUUUCUGCAGAGAAGAUGGGAUCGGGGAAUUGGUGAGGGCUGGAGCCUUCCAGAACCCUUGCCUGCUGCUCCUGCCAGGUGGCCUCUGCGUGGUCCUGCAGGCCCCUCCAGUUUCUCCAGCCCCAGAUGGAGUCUUGCUCUGUCGCCCAGACUGGGGUACAGUGGCAUGAUCUCGGCUCAUUGCAACCUCUGCCUACCAGGUUCAAGAGAUUCUCCUGCCUCCGCUUCCCUGGGAUUACAUGUGCCCACCACCACACCCAGCUAAUUUUUGAAUUUUUAAUAGAGAUGGGGUUUCACCAUCUUGGCCAGGCUGGUCUUGAACUCCUGACCUCGUGAUCCACCCGCCUUGGCCUCCCAAAGUGCUGGGAUUAUAGGCAUGAGCCACCAUGCCCAGCCUGUACCAUGAUUUCUUUAACCAGCUCCUAGAAUCAAGCAUUACCAAGAUCUUCCCAUUAGAAACAGCAUGGAUGGUGAUCUAGCUCAUUUGAAUGUAGAGUUUAAUGCUCUUUAACAAUUGCUUUAUUAAAUUACUCUGAAUUUAUAUUAAUAA